AAAAAGAGCCUAAGACUUUUCACAUUGAAGCAAAAGAAAGGGGAAAAAGAAACCUUACCACUACAUGUGAAUAUAAAAAAAAAAAGAGAACCCAACCAAUUGUCCUGCGACCGGAUGGAAGAGCCCAGCUGACACAGCCCAACUGAGUCUCAGGAAGCUUGGGGUUGACUCCUCUUACUUCAGGAAAGCCUGAACUCCAUUAUUGCACGAUUUGCAGCAUGGCCUGAAUAGAUUUGGUCAUUAUUAAGUCAAAUUAAAUACGGUGAAAGAAAGACUGCUAUCAUUAUCAAACAGGCUGACCUUGAGCUGCAAUGCUCCAACCUCUGC
Long non-coding RNA from Perognathus longimembris pacificus (Pacific pocket mouse), 327 nucleotides. RefSeq lists it as uncharacterized. The record is from RefSeq and is a predicted model, not a curated record. The transcript has 3 exons. NCBI's taxonomy places the organism in Eukaryota, Metazoa, Chordata, Mammalia, Rodentia, Heteromyidae.